RNAcentral lists this ribosomal RNA (444 nucleotides) under uncultured bacterium. RNAcentral describes it as "bacterial SSU rRNA". It matches the Rfam family "Bacterial small subunit ribosomal RNA", at positions 28 to 474 of the family's 1533-position model. The record is from RNAcentral.
AUUGAACGCUGGCGGCAUGCUUUACACAUGCAAGUCGAACGGCAGCGGGGGCUUCGGCCUGCCGGCGAGUGGCGAACGGGUGAGUAAUGCAUCGGAACGUGCCCAUGUCGUGGGGGAUAACGUAGCGAAAGCUACGCUAAUACCGCAUACGUCCUGAGGGAGAAAGCGGGGGAUCUUUGGACCUCGCGCGAUUGGAGCGGCCGAUGUCGGAUUAGCUAGUAGGUGAGGUAAAGGCUCACCUAGGCGACGAUCCGUAGCGGGUCUGAGAGGAUGAUCCGCCACACUGGGACUGAGACACGGCCCAGACUCCUACGGGAGGCAGCAGUGGGGAAUUUUGGACAAUGGGGGCAACCCUGAUCCAGCCAUGCCGCGUGAGUGAAGAAGGCCUCGGUUGUAAGACGUCUUUCGGUCCGGGUAACGGAAAGUACGUAGGUCGUCGUAACC